Molecule: transfer RNA, 156 nt
Filed under: Candidatus Woesearchaeota archaeon
Lineage: Archaea; Nanobdellati; Candidatus Woesearchaeota
Description: tRNA-Asp
Source: RNAcentral
GCCCUGGUAGUGUAGUGGCCUAUCAUGAAGCCCUGUCGAGGCUUCGACCCGGGUUCAAAAUCAGUAAUUCGUGACCCGUAUCCAGCAAUAAGCAUCUAAAACGGCUUUUUGUUGCCGAAAGAAUGCGAAUUACCGCUGAGUCUCCCGGCCAGGGCG